Molecule: ribosomal RNA, 395 nt
Filed under: uncultured bacterium
Lineage: Bacteria
Description: partial 16S ribosomal RNA
Rfam family: Bacterial small subunit ribosomal RNA
Source: RNAcentral
AUACGUAGGGUGCAAGCGUUAAUCGGAAUUACUGGGCGUAAAGCGUGCGCAGGCGGUUUUGUAAGACAGAGGUGAAAUCCCCGGGCCCAACCUGGGAACUGCCUUUGUAACUGCAAGGCUAGAGUACGGCAGAGGGGGAUGGAAUUUCGCGUGUAGCAGUGAAAUGCGUAGAUAUGCGGAGGAACACCGAGGGCGAAGGCAAUCCCCGUGGACUGUGCUGACGCUCAUGCACGAAAGCGUGGGGAGCAAACAGGAUGAGAUACCCUGGUAGUCCACGCCCUAAACGAUGUCAACUGGUUGUUGGGUCUUCAUUGACUCAGUAACGAAGGUAACGCGUGAAGGUGACCGCCUGGGGAGUACGGCCGCACGGUUGAAACUCAAAUGAAUUGACGGGG